Perognathus longimembris pacificus (Pacific pocket mouse) is the source of this 224-nucleotide long non-coding RNA. RefSeq lists it as uncharacterized. Lineage: Eukaryota; Metazoa; Chordata; Mammalia; Rodentia; Heteromyidae. The record is from RefSeq and is a predicted model, not a curated record. The transcript is spliced from 3 exons.
AACUAAUUUAUAUAAGUGUGAGAGGAGUUGGAACACAUAGAAUGGGUACAUUCUAAGAAUGGUAUGUGUAAUAAUGAGGGUAUUUGGCCAGUAAUGCUUAGAAUGAUGGAGUGUUUAGAGCAGUACUGUACCAAUGCAGCCACAAAAUGAAAAUUUAAAUCUUUCAUAUUAAUUUUUUAACAUGUGACAUUAAUUUAGAUAAUAUUUUUGGCAGUCAGAGUUUG